RNAcentral lists this long non-coding RNA (1354 nucleotides) under Brassica napus (rape). RNAcentral describes it as "long non-coding RNA (BNAP_LNC014529)". Lineage: Eukaryota; Viridiplantae; Streptophyta; Magnoliopsida; Brassicales; Brassicaceae. The record is from RNAcentral.
UGGAGUACCACAUGGAGUUCUUGGAGACACUUGGAGGCAUUUGGAGCUCAAAAAUGAGUGUUUAGAGUGGUCAUUGGGCGAGCAAGGCAUGGGAGCGACCAGUCUGGAGCGACACCACCAAGUCGCUCUGAUCACCCUACUGGAGCGACCUAACCAGAGCGACAGGGAGAAGUCGCUCGCGGUUUCAUCACUCGGAGACGAGAUAACGAGCCCGGAGCGACCUCUCGGAGCGACACAGCGAGAUCGCUCCAGCUGGGAGCGACGUUAUGGGAGCGACAGGGAGAAGUCGCUCGCGGUUUCAUCACCCGGAGACGCGAGAACGAACCCGUAGCGACCUCUCGCAGCGACACAGCGAGGUCGCUCCCAAAGCCUAGAGCGACUUGUCGGAGCGACGGGCUGAGGUCGCUGCGCGUUUUAUUUCUACUCUAACUUGUGAUUUCUCAAGAACCUUUUGGUCAUUUCAUUAUGCACGUUUUUAUUUUCUAAACCUAUGUUUUAAUACUCUAGGAGCCACCAAGAGGGGGAUCAUCUUUGUUCUUAGAAAAAGCACCAAAAACCUUUGGAAAGUCAUCUCUUUGAAUCAAUUGAUCAGUUUAUUAUUGAGAAUUCUGUGUUCUUAUCUAUUUUCUGUGUUUCUCUACAUGAUUAAUCUGAAAUCCAACAUGGGUUUAAGAGGAAUCAUGGAGAUUAGUGAGUAAUCACCUUUUGAAUUCAUGGGUUAGGGAGAUUGAGGGUGAUUAGGUUAGAACUAGGAUGUUUUAGUGUAGAUCAUUCAUAUUUCCUAUGAGCUCCCACCUUCAACCUCUCUCCCUAUGAGUUUUAGAAAGUUCACUUGUGGACAAGUAAAGAACAAGUUUUGGGGAGUUAAUAUCUUGCAUAUUUCUAUUGUUUUAUCCAUUCAUCCAUGUGCAUUUUGAUCAUAUAGAUUAGGAUUUAGCCAUGUUUAGGUUGCAUUUUGCAUACAUGAGUCCUUAUCAGGUAUUGGAGUACCACAUGGAGUUCUUGGAGACACUUGGAGGCAUUUGGAGCUCAAAAAUGAGUGUUUAGAGUGGUCAUUGGGCGAGCAAGGCAUGGGAGCGACCAGUCUGGAGCGACACCACCAAGUCGCUCUGAUCACCCUACUGGAGCGACCUAACCAGAGCGACAGGGAGAAGUCGCUCGCGGUUUCAUCACUCGGAGACGCGAGAACGAGCCCGGAGCGACCUCUCGGAGCGACACAGCGAGGUCGCUCCAGCUGGGAGCGACGUUAUGGGAGCGACAGGGAGAAGUCGCUCGCGGUUUCAUCACCCGGAGACGCGAGAACGAACCCGGAGCGACCUCUCGCAGCGACACAGCGAGGUCGCUCCCGAAGCCU